GAUGAACGCUAGCUACAGGCUUAACACAUGCAAGUCGAGGGGAAACGAUAUUGGAAGCUUGCUUCCGAUAGGCGUCGACCGGCGCACGGGUAAGUAACGCGUAUCCAACCUGCCCACCACUUGGGGAUAACCUUGCGAAAGUAAGACUAAUACCCAAUGACGUCUCUAGAAGACAUCUGAAAGAGAUUAAAGAUUUAUCGGUGAUGGAUGGGGAUGCGUCUGAUUAGCUUGUUGGCGGGGUAACGGCCCACCAAGGCGACGAUCAGUAGGGGUUCUGAGAGGAAGGUCCCCCACAUUGGAACUGAGACACGGUCCAAACUCCUACGGGAGGCAGCAGUGAGGAAUAUUGGUCAAUGGGCGAGAGCCUGAACCAGCCAAGUAGCGUGCAGGAUGACGGCCCUAUGGGUUGUAAACUGCUUUUAUAAGGGAAUAAAGUGAGUCUCGUGAGACUUUUUGCAUGUACCUUAUGAAUAAGGACCGGCUAAUUCCGUGCCAGCAGCCGCCGCGG
This 508-nucleotide ribosomal RNA is filed under the name uncultured bacterium. RNAcentral's name for it is "partial 16S ribosomal RNA". It matches the Rfam family "Bacterial small subunit ribosomal RNA", at positions 28 to 523 of the family's 1533-position model. The record is from RNAcentral.